Triticum urartu is the source of this 2754-nucleotide long non-coding RNA. RefSeq lists it as uncharacterized. NCBI's taxonomy places the organism in Eukaryota, Viridiplantae, Streptophyta, Magnoliopsida, Poales, Poaceae. The record is from RefSeq and is a predicted model, not a curated record.
CUUCGUUAUGUCCUACUCCUACUAUCAUUCAUCCCUUUCCCCAUUCUCAUUCUUCUCCCAUUCCUUUCUCUCUGUUCCUUACCUAAUCUAAGGAUUCGUCCACAAUUCGUUGCUAGAUCCUGCCAAGAAAAGAGGACGGGGGGAAGUGGGAUUUGGGGCAGAGUGCGGUGGCUGCAGCCUGCAAGCUCCCGGCGGCGGCACGUCGUCUAGCUCGACCACACGUGCCUGCUGCUCGCUGCCGUCGUCGAUUUGAUGGACAUGGAUUUGGGUCCACUUGAACCUGAGCGGUGGCACUCCUCCAGUGUAGAAAUUUUCUGUUGGAGAGAAGGAUUUUGCGCCCCAAAGCAGCAAGGCUGCGAGGCAAAGCGGUUUCGUUUCCCUGAGUGGCGUUGCUCUCCUAUUUGUGGCACUGGCUGAGAGCUGCGUUGUCGGGUUCGACGGCCAUGUUCUUCAUAGUGUUCUAGGAUAUAAUUUAUAGUUAUGUGACUUGCCAUUAAGGAUCCAUUAAGGACAUUUCAAAUCUGAAGCAUCCAUUAAGGAUCCAACGGCUCUAACUUCAUUUUUCUAUUCUUCUAUCCUAUGGCCAGUUUCUAUUGUAGUCUUCCCCACCAUAUAUUAGCAAUUUAUAUUAACAGUAGCUCUAUUUAAGACAAAGGAAGAAUGCUUGAUGUAUUAACUGAAUUUGGCCCAUAUAUGUUAAUUGAUAUGCAAUAGAUUUUAGAUUUUUCACAUGUGUUGUUUUUCGACAAAUUCACAUGUGUUGUAGGAGAUGCCUCUAAUACUAAAGCUUUUCUCAUUGUUCUCUUCAAUCGAAAAGGCUGUAGAAUAGAAGGGUUAUUUCCAAGAACAUUAAACUCACAAAAGUGCAUGUAUGAAUGUAUUUCGAAUAAUUACAAUUUGACAUGCUUCUCAUAGUGCUAACUUUUGACCCUUAUCUAAUAACUGUCCCCCUUAUACUGAUCGAUGUCAAGCAUUAUUUCUCUAUCUCAGUAAACAUAAAUGGUUUGCUUGGUGCUAAUCAGAUCUUGCCAUCCAAUAAGCUUAGCAAUUUUUACAUACCACUGUUAUUAGUGCAGAGUAAAUAUAAUAUGGAAGUUCUCAAUCAAAUUAGCAGAAUAUGCUUACCAGGUGUAGAUAUGUACCACAAUUUUCGCAGUAACACCUUCCACUUCCCUUUGUACGUAGUUAGUUUGUGUCAACCGGAAUUUGAUCAUUUGAAUAUUUUCGUGUAAUAGAUUAUUAUACCUAUUGUUGUGAAAAACAAAAUCCUAAAAUAAUCACCCAAAAAAUUAAAGUUAGCAUCCCGAAGAAGUUGACAGACAAAUAAUUCAGAUAUGAUUCCAUUAUAACUGAUAUGACUCAAUUAUCUGAAAAGCACUGCAGGUCUGAGAGUGUCGUUUUCCUCAAGAAGUGGUGAUAUCAUAUCUUAGAAGAAGUUUGAUCCAUCACCUGAUGUGUCUGGUUUUUGUGCCUCAUUCCAAUUGUCUGGAGUGCGAGGCAGAGUACUACCAAUAUUUAGAGUUUAACAAAUGUCAGUAAGGCAAGUUCACACUUUGAUCAUACUUUUCUAUACCCAGCUUUACUAUGCAUUAGUUUCACUCUUACAAAUUUGCAUGAGUAAGAUUGGGAAUUGUGGGAUUGCUAUGUAGUUCAUGAGGUAGGAACCCAUGAUCCUUGAAACACCCCGGGAAUAUUCGUUAUGUCAUAUAUUGCUUAGCCAUGCUUGUAGACGGGGAUUGGUAUGUGUGAUUCAUGCAAGUUGUGAGAGAGAAAUAAUGAUUUAAGGGUAACUAUAAGGUGGCAACAUUAACACAACUCUGGGUGGAAUGGUUGGGCACUUAGAGAAUCCAGUGCUUGCCCUAGGGGAUUCCCGAGAACCUGUGUGAUCACCCUACGAAAUGUCACCCAAGUUCAAAGGGAUCAUACCAUAUCUCAUGCCUAGAAACUUCCGUGUGCAGCCACAAGCCAUUAUGGGUUCUGGCAUAGUUGAGUAAGUUUGUGUGAGCCUUUCCGGGUAGGCUAACAAAUGUAGGGGAAAGUAGGUGUACCGUCCUAUCCAGGGUUAAGGGGGACACAUUCAAAAAGACUAUGUCUCGAUCUUCUAAUCAUGGAGGUGGUCGAGUCUUGUGGGGGAAAGUGCGCAAACCUCUGCAGAGUGUAUAAACUAAUCAUGAUUAGCCGUGUCCCCGGUUAUGGACAAAUUUGAGUAUCUAGAAGUGAAUUAUUAGUUGAUCUCAUCACUUUAUUUAAUUAAUGAAUUGGGUUAUUAAUAACUUGGGAAUUUGGGGAAUUGAGUUGGAGGAACCUUCUCAAUAAUGACAUAAACUUGGUAGUAAAAUAAAAUUUUAUUCCUUUGUUGUAGGGAAAAUUUAGCUUUAUGCAAAAUUAAACUUAGUGCCUCCACCAGCCAAUAUAUGCAUAUAGAGAUAGCCUUUUUCAUCAUUAUUCUAUAGUGUGACAUUGCUAGCAUAUUCCAUGUGCUGACCUACACGUUUGCAACGUCUCGUGUUGCAGAGUUUUCCAACGAGGAUUAAGGUGCGAUAGGACAUUGUUCUGCACUCAGUUUUGCCGUGGAGUUAGAUGGACUCAUUUAUCUUCGAAGCUUCCACAACUAUUUUAUUUAGAUGGCCUUCUAGCAUAUUUUUGUAAUAAAUACUCUUUUGAGGACCUCGAUGUAAUAAAGUGUGAUUGGACAAUGUUAUAAUUCCUCGAGUACUGUGUGUGUCAGCAUACCGAUCCAGGGAUGACACUUAA